RNAcentral lists this ribosomal RNA (464 nucleotides) under uncultured bacterium. Its description in RNAcentral is "partial 16S ribosomal RNA". It matches the Rfam family "Bacterial small subunit ribosomal RNA", at positions 338 to 795 of the family's 1533-position model. The record is from RNAcentral.
CCUACGGGAGGCAGCAGUAGGGAAUUUUCGUCAAUGGGCGCAAGCCUGAACGAGCAAUGCCGCGUGAACGAGGAAGGUCUUCGGAUCGUAAAGCUCUGUUGAAGGGGAAAAAGAGCGGAGAGAGGAAAUGCUUUCUGAUUGAUAUUACCCUUCGAGGAAGUCCCGGCUAACUACGUGCCAGCAGCCGCGGUAAUACGUAGGUGGCGAGCGUUAUCCGGAUUGAUUGGGCGUAAGGGGUUCAUAGGCGGCCUGCUAAGUCGGGGGUGAAAGCUACCGGCUCAACCGGUACAGGCUCUGGAAACUGGCGGGCUAGAGAGCAGGAGAGGGCGGUGGAACUCCAUGUGUAGCGGUAAAAUGCGUAGAUAUAUGGAAGAACACCAGUGGCGAAGGCGGCCGCCUGGCCUGUUACUGACGCUGAGGCACGAAAGCGUGGGGAGCAAAUAGGAUUAGAUACCCGAGUAGUC